GUAGGUGAACCUGCGGAAGGAUCAUUAUCACGUAUCCACGUAUAAACCAAUCGCGAACUGUUCUGCCCUUUGGGAGAAACGAGUCAGUGCUUCAGUGGACGCAUAUGAGUUCUUUAUGUGGUUUUCUUGAACUCGUCUUCUAUCGCCUUGAGUAUUGUACUCAGACUCGUUUUUCCUGAAGUGUAUUUAAAAUCACUAUUUAUCUUCAUUAACCAUUUAAACUUAUUUAUUUAAUUGAAUUCAUGUACUGACUUGUUUCUUACUCCGUACACGGAGAAGAAAUUCAUUACGAAACAAAAGAACAACUCUUAGCAACGGAUAUCUUGGUUCUC
Molecule: unclassified non-coding RNA, 332 nt
Filed under: rhizosphere metagenome
Description: partial ribosomal RNA internal transcribed spacer region
Source: RNAcentral